GGUCGGCUGGCUCAAUGGUAGAGCGUCACUCUCCUAUUGAUCAAUGAUCAAAGUGAAGGCUCUGGGUUCGAGUCCCAGGUCGAUCG
This 86-nucleotide transfer RNA is filed under the name Aspergillus alliaceus. It matches the Rfam family "tRNA". From Rfam's summary of the family: Transfer RNA (tRNA) molecules are approximately 80 nucleotides in length. Their secondary structure includes four short double-helical elements and three loops (D, anti-codon, and T loops). Further hydrogen bonds mediate the characteristic L-shaped molecular structure. tRNAs have two regions of fundamental functional importance: the anti-codon, which is responsible for specific mRNA codon recognition, and the 3' end, to which the tRNAs corresponding amino acid is attached (by aminoacyl-tRNA synthetases). tRNAs cope with the degeneracy of the genetic code in two manners: having more than one tRNA (with a specific anti-codon) for a particular amino acid; and 'wobble' base-pairing, i.e. permitting non-standard base-pairing at the 3rd anti-codon position. Lineage: Eukaryota; Fungi; Ascomycota; Eurotiomycetes; Eurotiales; Aspergillaceae. The record is from Rfam by way of RNAcentral.